UCAAGCUACAAAGGGCGCAUGGUGAAUGCCUUGGCAUCAGGAGCCGAUGAAGGACGUGAUAAGCUGCGAUAAGCUUCGGGUAGGCGCACAUAGCCUGAGAUCCGAAGAUCUCCGAAUGAGGAAACUCACAUGGGAAACCCCAUGUAUCAUUAAGUGAAUACAUAGCUUAAUGAAGGUAACCCAGGGAACUGAAACAUCUAAGUACCUGGAGGAAGAGAAAGAAAAAUCGAUUUUCUUAGUAGCGGCGAGCGAAAGGGAAAGAGCCCAAACCGGAAACUUGUUUCCGGGGUUGUGGACAUAACAUAAAAGUGGAGGCUAUUGUAACUGAAGAGAACUGGAAAGUUCCACCGUAGAAGGUAAUAGUCCUGUAAGUGAAACGAGAAGACCACGAGUUAUGAUCCAGAGUACCACGAGACACGUGAAACCUUGUGGGAAGCAGGGAGGACCACCUCCCAAGGCUAAAUACUACCUGAUGACCGAUAGUGAAGCAGUACCGUGAGGGAAAGGUGAAAAGAACCCCGGGAGGGGAGUGAAAUAGAACCUGAAACCAUGUGCCUACAACCGCUCAGAGCCCCUUAUGAGGGUGAUGAGGUGCUUUUUGUAGAACGAGCCAACGAGUUACGGUAUGUAGCAAGGUUAAGUACUUAAGGUACGGAGCCGAAGGGAAACCGAGUCUGAAUAGGGCGACUAGUUGCAUGCCGUAGACCCGAAACCGGGUGACCUAUCCAUGGCCAGGUUGAAGCGAGGGUAAAACCUCGUGGAGGACCGAACCACGUUGCUGUUGAAAAAGCAUGGGAUGAGCUGUGGAUAGCGGAGAAAUUCCAAUCGAACCCGGAGAUAGCUGGUUCUCUCCGAAAUAGCUUUAGGGCUAGCGUCGAGUAUGAGUAGUGGAGGUAGAGCACUGAAUGGGCUAGGGGGCAUAGCGCUUACCGAACCUUAUCAAACUCCGAAUGCCACAUACUUUGAGCUCGGCAGUCAGACUACGAAUGAUAAGAUCCGUGGUCAAAAGGGAAACAGCCCAGAUCGUCAGCUAAGGUCCCAAAGUGUAAGUUAAGUGGGAAAGGAUGUGAGAUUUCUAAGACAACUAGGAUGUUGGCUUAGAAGCAGCCAUUCAUUAAAAGAGUGCGUAAUAGCUCACUAGUCGAGAGAUCUUGCGCCGAAAAUGUAACGGGGCUAAACUUACCACCGAAGCUACGGGCUUGAACUUAGUUCAAGCGGUAGGAGAGCGUCGUAACCGGGCUGAAGUCGUACCGUAAGGAGCGGUGGACUGGUUACGAGUGAGAAUGUUGGCAUCAGUAGCGAGAUGUGGGUGAGAAUCCCACAGGCCGAAAACCUAAGGUUUCCUCAGGAAGGUUCGUCCGCUGAGGGUUAGUCGGGACCUAAGCCGAGGCCGAAAGGCGUAGGUGAUGGACAACUGGUUGAUAUUCCAGUACCACUACCAUCGUUAUUAUCGAUGGCGUGACGCAGGAGGAUAGUGUGUGCUAGCUAUUGGAUGCUAGUCUAAGCGUUUAGGCAGUGAGAGUAGGCAAAUCCGCUCUCAUAAUGCUGAGGCGUGAUGGGGAAGGUUCCACGGAACCGAAGUACAUGAUUCCACGCUGCCAAGAAAAGCGUCUAGAGAGAGAAGUAGUGCCCGUACCGCAAACCGACACAGGUAGGUGAGGAGAGAAUCCUAAGGCCGGCGGAAGAAUUACAGUUAAGGAACUCGGCAAAUUGACCCCGUAAGUUCGCGAGAAGGGGUGCCUACGAGAGUAGGCCGCAGAGAAUAGGCCCAAGCAACUGUUUAGCAAAAACACAGGUCUCUGCUAAAGCGUAAGCUGAUGUAUAGGGGCUGACGCCUGCCCGGUGCUGGAAGGUUAAGGGGAACACUUAGCGCAAGCGAAGGUGUGAACUUAAGCCCCAGUAAACGGCGGCCGUAACUAUAACGGUCCUAAGGUAGCGAAAUUCCUUGUCGGGUAAGUUCCGACCCGCACGAAAGGCGUAACGAUUUGGGCACUGUCUCAACGAGAGACUCGGUGAAAUUUUAGUACCUGUGAAGAU
This 2037-nucleotide ribosomal RNA is filed under the name human gut metagenome. RNAcentral's name for it is "bacterial LSU rRNA". It matches the Rfam family "Bacterial large subunit ribosomal RNA", at positions 3 to 2060 of the family's 2925-position model. The record is from RNAcentral.